Molecule: non-coding RNA, 82 nt
Organism: Russula brevipes
Lineage: Eukaryota; Fungi; Basidiomycota; Agaricomycetes; Russulales; Russulaceae
Source: the annotation of a GenBank genome assembly
GGCCGCCUGGCGAAAUGGCAUCGCGUCUGACUACGACCCUGUUGUGAUCAGGAGAUUGCAGGUUCGACCCCUGCGGUGGUCA